AAGACUUACUUUCAGGGAUCUUUCAAUAGUUUCUGACUUGAGAAAUGUGUUUCUAAAGUGGUUGUCUCGCCAACCAUGAUGAUGAGUCGUGCAUAUUCCUUCGAGCGUGAAUGCGACAGAGAGUAAUGAUUGUUCCUUCAUGUUUCUCUGCAUUGAGAUUGUUCUUUACAUUCUUUGUGGAGUAAUUAGAGGAAGGAAUUGGAUAGGAGUGGU
Molecule: small nucleolar RNA, 213 nt
Organism: Larimichthys crocea (large yellow croaker)
Lineage: Eukaryota; Metazoa; Chordata; Actinopteri; Sciaenidae
Gene: U3
Rfam family: Small nucleolar RNA U3
About the family: Small nucleolar RNAs (snoRNAs) are involved in the processing and modification of rRNA in the nucleolus. There are two main classes of snoRNAs: the box C/D class, and the box H/ACA class.
Source: Ensembl